CGUUCUACUCUCUACCGCCCCCUUCAACCCUUUUCUGCGCGUGCGCACCGAAGGGCCCCCUGGGGGAGCGGCGCGAGGCAGGGACCUCGGGGGAAGGAGAGACUGCAUGGAGGAAUCGAGCACCGAGUCAUCGAACCACGGUUGCUAAGCGACGGAGGCGGGUGUAAAGGAUCGGGAACUUGAAAUGGACUGGGCAUGGAGCAAAAAGCAGUGAAGACGAUGGUGACAGUGAAGAUAACUCAUCAGCUGUUCUCAUCCGCACUCCACCCUACUAAAGCUUGUAAAACAAAGGUCUGUGAAUGAGUCAAUGGGCAGGUCCCCAGGGCUCCUGGCUACGAUCGGAAUCAAAGAACCGAGAGAUUUUCAAAUACACAAGACACAGGAGAAUAUAAGCUCAUUGAGAGCAGAGCCUGUUUUCUUUUCUUAAUCCACAGUGCCUAGAAUUUAGUGAACACCUAAUAAAUGCUUAUUGAUUGGAGCCAUAAGGGACCUUAGAGUCUGUCCAAUCGAACUCGAUUUACAGGAACUGAUUAUUUUGAAUGGUCACUCCCUCCUCCAGUUAUUUACUCCUGAUCUGAGUCUACAAUCCUCAGACACAGCCACUGGACUCAUCAAAAGUACAACCACGAUGCUUUUCAGGAGCUGAGAAUCUUCAGUAGGACUUGUCCUACAACCUAAAGCUGCAGCAACACAAUCACUUCCUUUUUAUAAAUGAGGAAACGGAAGUCUGGGGAGGUGACAGUUUAUCCUCAGGUCACGGAGGUGGUGACAGGGCUGGGAUUUGAUUCAAGGCCUUCUGACCCUAAAUGCGACAUUCUUUCCGUUAAACCAAAACUCUCCACAUUCUGGAAAUAUCGUGGCUAUACCUUGGAAAAGCCCAACCUGGGCCCGAGCUACGCUAAAUGUCAUGCACCGGAAAGGGAGUGGCCUGAAACCCAAGCGUGGAGCCUGCCCAGAGGGGACCUGGUUCUCCUGCAUGCAGGUAGCCUCCCCCCAUCCUAUUUCAGGGCCCCCGGUGGCACAAGAUAUCACUGCUGAAAGAUGUACCAGCCGCUUGGAACAACAAUGAGGAUUUGGAAGGAUUGCCAAAUUUGAAGGGGGAGAUUGGGAAGAGUUAUUUUAAACUUAUACCGCAUCCUUGCUGUUUCAGACCCAGGAGAAGUAACUGCUUUUUACCCCCAUUCAUCAUCACCACCAACAACAGCAACACUAACAAUAAUACUCCACAGCCGUGAAGCGAGCGCCCUGUGGUUUCAAAGUGCUUUAUGUUCAUGCUCUUAUUGGCUCUCUUCAACAGUC
Molecule: long non-coding RNA, 1299 nt
Organism: Dromiciops gliroides (monito del monte)
Lineage: Eukaryota; Metazoa; Chordata; Mammalia; Microbiotheria; Microbiotheriidae
Exons: 3
Source: RefSeq, a predicted model, not a curated record